RNAcentral lists this ribosomal RNA (319 nucleotides) under uncultured bacterium. Its description in RNAcentral is "bacterial SSU rRNA". It matches the Rfam family "Bacterial small subunit ribosomal RNA", at positions 189 to 509 of the family's 1533-position model. The record is from RNAcentral.
CAUGUUUAUAUGAUGAAACGUUAGGGUAUAGGGUGAGCACGCUUCUGAUUAGGUAGUUGGUGAGGUAACGGCUCACCAAGCCGACGAUCAGUAGGGGUUCUGAGAGGAAGGUCCCCCACAUUGGAACUGAGACACGGUCCAAACUCCUACGGGAGGCAGCAGUGAGGAAUAUUGGUCAAUGGACGGAAGUCUGAACCAGCCAAGUCGCGUGAAGGAUGAAGGUUCUAUGGAUUGUAAACUUCUUUUAUUCGAGGGUAAAGUGUGGUACGUGUACCAUAUUGCAAGUAUCGAAUGAAUAAGCAUCGGCUAACUCCGUGCC